GACAGAGGGGGGCAAGCGUUGCUCGGAAUUACUGGGCGUAAAGGGCGCGUAAGCGGGAUGGCAAGUCGGUCGUGAAAUCCCUCGGCUCAACCGAGGAACGUCGAUCGAUACUGCUGUUCUUGAGGAUUGCAGAGGAGACUGGAAUUCCCGGUGUAGCGGUGAAAUGUGUAGAGAUCGGGAGGAACACCGGUGGCGAAGGCGGGUCUCUGGGGCAAUUCCUGACGCUGAGGCGCGAAAGCGUGGGGAGCAAACGGG
Molecule: ribosomal RNA, 255 nt
Filed under: uncultured bacterium
Lineage: Bacteria
Description: partial 16S ribosomal RNA
Rfam family: Bacterial small subunit ribosomal RNA
Source: RNAcentral